GCGCUCGUAACACAAUGGAUAGUGUACGAGCCUGCGAAGCUCGGUAUCCAGGUUCGAUUCCUGGCGAGCGCA
RNAcentral lists this transfer RNA (72 nucleotides) under Elusimicrobiota bacterium. RNAcentral describes it as "Elusimicrobia bacterium (groundwater metagenome) tRNA-Arg". It matches the Rfam family "tRNA". From Rfam's summary of the family: Transfer RNA (tRNA) molecules are approximately 80 nucleotides in length. Their secondary structure includes four short double-helical elements and three loops (D, anti-codon, and T loops). Lineage: Bacteria; Pseudomonadati; Elusimicrobiota. The record is from RNAcentral.